UGGGGAAUUGUUCGCAAUGGGCGCAAGCCUGACGACGCAACGCCGCGUGGAGGAUGAAGGUCUUCGGAUCGUAAACUCCUGUUGCUCGGGACGAAUAGCUUCGACCUAAUACGUCGAAGUCUGACGGUACCGGGUGAGGAAGCCCCGGCUAACUCUGUGCCAGCAGCCGCGGUAAUACAGAGGGGGCAAGCGUUGUUCGGAAUUACUGGGCGUAAAGGGCGCGUAGGCGGCCUGUUAAGUCGAACGUGAAAUCCCCGGGCUCAACCCGGGAACUGCGUCCGAUACUGGCAGGCUUGAAUUCGGGAGAGGGAUGCGGAAUUCCAGGUGUAGCGGUGAAAUGCGUAGAUAUCUGGAGGAACACCGGUGGCGAAGGCGGCAUCCUGGACCGAGAUUGACGCUGAGGCGCGAAAGCCAGGGGAGCAAACGGGAUUAGAUACCCCGGUAGUCCUGGCCCUAAACGAUGAAUGCUUGGUGUGGCGGGUAUCGAUCCCUGCCGUGCCGAAGCUAACGCAUUAAGCAUUCCGCCUGGGGAGUACGGUCGCAAGGCUG
Molecule: ribosomal RNA, 549 nt
Filed under: uncultured bacterium
Lineage: Bacteria
Description: bacterial SSU rRNA
Rfam family: Bacterial small subunit ribosomal RNA
Source: RNAcentral